AGAGUUUGAUCCUGGCUCAGAUUGAACGCUGGCGGCAGGCCUAACACAUGCAAGUCGAACGGUAACAGGAAGCAGCUUGCUGCUUCGCUGACGAGUGGCGGACGGGUGAGUAAUGUCUGGGAAACUGCCUGAUGGAGGGGGAUAACUACUGGAAACGGUAGCUAAUACCGCAUAACGUCGCAAGACCAAAGAGGGGGACCUUAGGGCCUCUUGCCAUCGGAUGUGCCCAGAUGGGAUUAGCUAGUAGGUGGGGUAACGGCUCACCUAGGCGACGAUCCCUAGCUGGUCUGAGAGGAUGACCAGCCACACUGGAACUGAGACACGGUCCAGACUCCUACGGGAGGCAGCAGUGGGGAAUAUUGCACAAUGGGCGCAAGCCUGAUGCAGCCAUGCCGCGUGUAUGAAGAAGGCCUUCGGGUUGUAAAGUACUUUCAGCGGGGAGGAAGGGAGUAAAGUUAAUACCUUUGCUCAUUGACGUUACCCGCAGAAGAAGCACCGGCUAACUCGCGUGCCAGCAGCCGCGGUAA
This 527-nucleotide ribosomal RNA is filed under the name uncultured bacterium. Its description in RNAcentral is "bacterial SSU rRNA". It matches the Rfam family "Bacterial small subunit ribosomal RNA", at positions 8 to 523 of the family's 1533-position model. The record is from RNAcentral.